UGUGUGUAUGCGUGUGCACGCGGAUGUGUAUAUAUAUAUAUAUAUAUAUAUAUACACACACACACACAUAUACACACACACACAUACACACAC
Molecule: microRNA precursor, 93 nt
Filed under: Tupaia belangeri (northern tree shrew)
Lineage: Eukaryota; Metazoa; Chordata; Mammalia; Scandentia; Tupaiidae
Description: miRNA (ENSTBEG00000019740.1)
Source: RNAcentral